Molecule: ribosomal RNA, 310 nt
Filed under: uncultured bacterium
Lineage: Bacteria
Description: bacterial SSU rRNA
Rfam family: Bacterial small subunit ribosomal RNA
Source: RNAcentral
GAUGAACGCUAGCGGGAGGCUUAAUACAUGCAAGUCGAGCGGUAGAGCGGCUUCGGUUGCUCGAGAGCGGCGCACGGGUGAGUAACGCGUACGCAACUUACCUCCAAGCGGGGCAUAGCCCCGGGAAACUGGGAUUAAUACCCCAUAGUUUGCAUUGGCUGCAUGGUCAGUGCAAUAAAGUUGAGGCGCUUGGAGAUAGGCGUGCGUCUGAUUAGGUAGUUGGUAGGGUAACGGCCUACCAAGCCGACGAUCAGUAGGGGGCGGUGAGAGCGUGGCCCCCCACCACGGGUACGUGAGACACGGACCCGGA